CUCUCUUCUAUCCCUCCCCUCUCCUCUAUCCCCUUCCUCUCCUCUGUCCCUCCCCUCUCCAUUAUCACUUUCCUCUCUUCUGUCCCUCUCCUCUGUCCCUCCCCUGUCCUUACAUUACCCCUUUUGUUGCCCUCAUGGUCGCCAUUGGGGGAGCACAUGAGGUACAACUGUACCGGGCCUCAAGGGGGACCCAGCUGUGCUGCACUUUUCAAAUUAGCCGGGCCCCCCUUACCAGCGAGGAAGUGAUGCGCCGCCGAAAGAGCCGAAUGUCCCGAAGAGCCAAAGUCCCGGAUCGGUGAAGUCACAAAUUGCAGAAGAGCCGAAGUCCCAAAGCUGCGAACCUAGCUGAAGCCGCGAAAAGAACCCGAAGUUGAAGUCCUGAAGACACCAAAAGACCCAAAGCCACAAAAGUAGCCGAAGCGAAAGACCCAAAGCCACGAAAAGACCCAAAAACCGCAAAGAAACCCGAAGUUGAAGUCCUGAAGCAGCAAAAAGACCCAAAGUCACAAAGUAGCCGAAGCAUGAAGAACACCCAAAGCCGCAAAAAGACCCAGAACCAAGAAAAAACACGAAGUUCAAGUCUUGACACCACAAAAAGACCCGAAGCCACGAAAGUAGCUAUAGAAGAAUCUAAGGUUGGAAUCAGCCUCCCACGUGGAUUUCCUGGAACUGCUGUUGAGUGAUUGUUAGCUGUUGUGUUCCAAUGGAAUCCUCCAACCCGUAGCUCCAUUUGUCACAGCCGGUUACUAAGCUCUGAUUGGAUGUGGACAACAUGGCGUAGAUAAAGCCAGGGUCAGACUGACCUGCCACAAUACCAAAGGAUCUCCUGAAGGGCCACAGUCCUAGCGAGGACAGUUACGCAUGGUAUCCCAAAACCCAGAACAAAUGCCAAGGUUCCAGUAACGGCUCACACUUCUGCCUAUAAUAGCUGCCUUUCUCUUCGGGAGAAGCCCUCCGCUACUUGGAUGCCACCAGGCCUUAAAGGACAUGUAAAGCCUACAUUUUCCUACCAUGUAUAUAU
Long non-coding RNA from Xenopus laevis (African clawed frog), 1021 nucleotides. RefSeq lists it as uncharacterized. The transcript has 3 exons. The record is from RefSeq and is a predicted model, not a curated record. NCBI's taxonomy places the organism in Eukaryota, Metazoa, Chordata, Amphibia, Anura, Pipidae.